This 465-nucleotide ribosomal RNA is filed under the name Vreelandella stevensii. Its description in RNAcentral is "partial 16S ribosomal RNA". It matches the Rfam family "Bacterial small subunit ribosomal RNA", at positions 338 to 795 of the family's 1533-position model. The record is from RNAcentral. Lineage: Bacteria; Pseudomonadati; Pseudomonadota; Gammaproteobacteria; Oceanospirillales; Halomonadaceae.
CCUACGGGUGGCAGCAGUGGGGAAUAUUGGACAAUGGGCGAAAGCCUGAUCCAGCCAUGCCGCGUGUGUGAAGAGGGCCUUCGGGUUGUAAAGCACUUUCAGUGGGGAAGAAAGCCUUGGGGCUAAUACCCUCGAGGAAGGACAUCACCCACAGAAGAAGCACCGGCUAACUCCGUGCCAGCAGCCGCGGUAAUACGGAGGGUGCGAGCGUUAAUCGGAAUUACUGGGCGUAAAGCGCGCGUAGGCGGUCUGAUAAGCCGGUUGUGAAAGCCCCGGGCUCAACCUGGGAACGGCAUCCGGAACGGUCAGGCUAGAGUGCAGGAGAGGAAGGUAGAAUUCCCGGUGUAGCGGUGAAAUGCGUAGAGAUCGGGAGGAAUACCAGUGGCGAAGGCGGCCUUCUGGACUGACACUGACGCUGAGGUGCGAAAGCGUGGGUAGCAAACAGGAUUAGAUACCCGGGUAGUC